GGAAAGGCCCUGCUUGCAGGGUACUCGAGUGGCGAACGGGUGAGUAACACGUGGGUGAUCUGCCCUGCACUUCGGGAUAAGCUUGGGAAACUGGGUCUAAUACCGGAUAGGAACCAUCUUUAGUGUGGUGGUCGGAAAGUUUUUUCGGUGUAGGAUGAGCUCGCGGCCUAUCAGCUUGUUGGUGGGGUAAUGGCCUACCAAGGCGGCGACGGGUAGCCGGCCUGAGAGGGUGUACGGCCACAUUGGGACUGAGAUACGGCCCAGACUCCUACGGGAGGCAGCAGUGGGGAAUAUUGCACAAUGGGCGCAAGCCUGAUGCAGCGACGCCGCGUGGGGGAUGAAGGCCUUCGGGUUGUAAACUCCUUUCGCUAGGGACGAAGCUUUUUGUGACGGUACCUAGAUAAGAAGCACCGGCUAACUACGUGCCAGCAGCCGCGGUAAUACGUAGGGUGCGAGCGUUGUCCGGAAUUACUGGGCGUAAAGGGCUCGUAGGUGGUUUGUCGCGUCGUCUGUGAAAUUCUGGGGCUUAACUCCGGGCGUGCAGGCGAUACGGGCAUAACUUGAGUGCUGUAGGGGUAACUGGAAUUCCUGGUGUAGCGGUGAAAUGCGCAGAUAUCAGGAGGAACACCGAUGGCGAAGGCAGGUUACUGGGCAGUUACUGACGC
Molecule: ribosomal RNA, 665 nt
Filed under: uncultured Actinomycetales bacterium
Lineage: Bacteria; Bacillati; Actinomycetota; Actinomycetes; Actinomycetales
Description: bacterial SSU rRNA
Rfam family: Bacterial small subunit ribosomal RNA
Source: RNAcentral